AAUCAGUCUAAUCUCGAUAAUACAUACAUGAACAUAUUACAAGGAAGAUAAAAAUACAGUUUAAAAUUCUCAAAUAGCAUUUAGAGAAACAAUAAACAGAUAAACAGAUUGAUGUACUCCAGUAUAAAAUUCAUACCAGUACAUCUCUUCAGAGCGGCUAGCUAAGGGGUCGAUGAUCGUUCGACUGCUGUCCUUCCGAUUUCGGAGGCAUAUUGUACACAUUCUUCAGCAGAUCCUGGAUUUUGCUCAGCAUCAUCAUCUGCGAUGGAUCACCACCACUGCCGCCACCGCCGCCACUACUGCUUCCCUGCUGAGGCCGUUGGCUCUCCUGAAGCUUUAUCUUCUCG
Molecule: unclassified non-coding RNA, 347 nt
Filed under: Hevea brasiliensis (rubber tree)
Lineage: Eukaryota; Viridiplantae; Streptophyta; Magnoliopsida; Malpighiales; Euphorbiaceae
Source: RNAcentral